GACGAACGCUGGCGGCGUGCUUAACACAUGCAAGUCGAACGGACAGGCCCUGCUCUUGUGGGGUGCUCGAGUGGCGAACGGGUGAGUAACACGUGAGUAAACUGCCCUUGACUUUGGGAUAACUUCAGGAAACUGGGGCUAAUACCGGAUAGAAGCUCCUGCUGCAUGGUGUUCGUUGGAAAGUUUCGGCGGUUUGGGAUGGACUCGCUGCUUAUCAGCUUGUUGGUGAGGUAGUGGCUUACCAGGCCUUUGACGGAUAGCCGGCCUGAGAGCGUGACCGGGCACAUGGGGACUGAGAUAGGCAGCAGACGCGAACGGGAGGCAGUAGUGGGGAAUAUGGCACAAUGGGCGGACGCCUGAUGCGGCAACGUCCGGUGCGGGAUGAUGGCUUAUGGGGUGUAAACCGCUGUGGCCGGUGACGUAGCGAGAGUGACGGUAAUGGGUAAAGAAGCACCGGCUAACUACGUG
RNAcentral lists this ribosomal RNA (468 nucleotides) under uncultured bacterium. Its description in RNAcentral is "partial 16S ribosomal RNA". It matches the Rfam family "Bacterial small subunit ribosomal RNA", at positions 28 to 507 of the family's 1533-position model. The record is from RNAcentral.